This 400-nucleotide unclassified non-coding RNA is filed under the name soil metagenome. Its description in RNAcentral is "partial contains 5.8S ribosomal RNA, internal transcribed spacer 2, and large subunit ribosomal RNA". The stretch from base 1 to 122 matches the Rfam family "5.8S ribosomal RNA", at positions 35 to 154 of the family's 154-position model. The record is from RNAcentral.
GAUGAAGAACGUAGCGAAAUGCGAUACUUGGUGUGAAUUGCAGAAUCCCGUGAACCAUCGAGUCUUUGAACGCAAGUUGCGCCUCAAGCCAUUAGGUUGAGGGCACGUCUGCCUGGGCGUCACAUGUCGUUGCCUGAUGCCAGUUUCCUCGUGAUGGGUGACUGUGCAGGGCGAAUGAUGGCUUCCCGUGAGCAUUGUUGCCUCAUGGUUGGUUGAAAAUUGAGUCCUUGGUAGGGAGCGCCGUGAUAGAUGGUGGUUGAGUGACGAACGAGACCCAAUCAUGUGAGACCCCUACCGAAUUUGGCCUUCAUGUCCCACAUGCGUCUUUGGAACGCUCAUGACGAGACCUCAGGUCAGGCGGGGCUACCCGCUGAGUUUAAGCAUAUCAAUAAGCGGAGGA